This 31-nucleotide non-coding RNA is filed under the name Mus musculus (house mouse). The record is from RNAcentral. Lineage: Eukaryota; Metazoa; Chordata; Mammalia; Rodentia; Muridae.
UAGAAGUUCUAACAUAAGCCAUGAUGUGUCC